This 305-nucleotide ribosomal RNA is filed under the name uncultured bacterium. Its description in RNAcentral is "bacterial SSU rRNA". It matches the Rfam family "Bacterial small subunit ribosomal RNA", at positions 44 to 334 of the family's 1533-position model. The record is from RNAcentral.
GUGCCUAACACAUGCAAGUCGAACGCGAAUAUCCCGCAAGGGAUUAGUAGAGUGGCAAACGGGUGAGUAACACGUGGGUGACCUGCCUUCGAGUGGGGGAUAACGUCCCGAAAGGGACGCUAAUACCGCAUGACAUCCUGCCUUUGAACAGGUGGAGAUCAAAGCUGGGGAUCGCAAGACCUAGCGCUUGAAGAGGGGCCCGCGUCCGAUUAGCUAGUUGGUGAGGUAACGGCUCACCAAGGCGACGAUCGGUAGCCGGCCUGAGAGGGCGGACGGCCACACUGGGACUUGUUUACACGGCCCAG